GAACCCGGUUAGGAUUGUCA
This 20-nucleotide small nuclear RNA is filed under the name Arabidopsis thaliana (thale cress). Its description in RNAcentral is "snRNA_14535". The record is from RNAcentral. Lineage: Eukaryota; Viridiplantae; Streptophyta; Magnoliopsida; Brassicales; Brassicaceae.